RNAcentral lists this ribosomal RNA (497 nucleotides) under uncultured bacterium. RNAcentral's name for it is "bacterial SSU rRNA". It matches the Rfam family "Bacterial small subunit ribosomal RNA", at positions 8 to 507 of the family's 1533-position model. The record is from RNAcentral.
AGAGUUUGAUCCUGGCUCAGGAUGAACGCUAGCGGGAGGCCUAACACAUGCAAGCCGAGCGGUAUUUCUUCUUCGGAAGAGAGAGAGCGGCGUACGGGUGCGGAACACGUGUGCAACCUGCCUUUAUCUGGGGGAUAGCCUUUCGAAAGGAAGAUUAAUACCCCAUAAUAUAUUUGAUGGCAUCAUUAGAUAUUGAAAACUCCGGUGGAUAGAGAUGGGCACGCGCAAGAUUAGAUAGUUGGUGGGUAACGGCCCACCAAGUCGAUGAUCUUUAGGGGCCUGAGAGGGUGAUCCCCCACACUGGUACUGAGACACGGACCAGACUCCUACGGGAGGCAGCAGUGAGGAAUAUUGGACAAUGGGUGAGAGCCUGAUCCAGCCAUCCCGCGUGAAGGAAUAAGGUCCUAUGGAUUGUAAACUUCUUUUCUACAGGGAUAAACCUAUUUACGUGUAAAUAGCUGAAGGUACUGUAGGAAUAAGCACCGGCUAACUCCGUG